GGUGUAGCUGUUCAGCACUAAAGUAAACAAACUGUGAUGUACUUCAGGGGGACCCCCAGUACCUCCUAUACUACCACCUUUACUUUGUGAAAUACUGAGUGCUACCUCACAGGAUGUGAUCACAUGAUGCAGGGACACUCCCACCUGCAACUCUUCAUACUUUAUGAGGCUCUGCAGUCCCUGUCAGACAUCAUGGACGUGAUCAUCUUUAAACACAGCUUCCUCACAGUGUCCAUCUUUUUACUGUGGACUACAGGUCUAACUGAUGGAAGCGAUGUCACCCAGACUGACAUCCUGUGGGGAACACAGGGAGAGAGUGCAACCAUGAGCUGCAACCACACAAAGGAUGCUAGCUACUUCCAGAUGUACUGGUACAGACAGCUGCCAGGAGAAACUAUGGAGCUAAUCGUGUUCACAAUAUCAGGGAACAAUGAUAAUCAUGAUUUUGGAGAAUUCGGCAAAGACAAGUUCUCAGCCACAAAGCCUAGCGCUGAGAGCGGGACGUUCACAGUGAAGGGUCUGCAGCCAGGAGACAAAGGCUUGUACUUCUGUGCUGUGAGUCAACACAGUGACUCACACACAGGAGGAGGCUGAACAAAAACCCCUCUGUUGGUGUCACAUGAAUAAAAGAGAUCAGUGAGUUCAGUUAUCUGCAGGUGGAGCUCGACACUGCAGACUGGUUCUUAGUAUGCAGUGUCAUUAGUGACUUGUUGUCAAAGUGAAUGAGAAAUCACAGGCAAUACAUAGACAUUGUUCUCCAUACUGCUGAGCAUGUUUCCGGAUGUUUGUAGGAUUUCAUUCAGUUCAGAGCUUAUUUGAUAUCAUCAUGUGAACAGUGACAUUUAUAGACAUAUACUUGUCAAUUGUGUUUUGUGUUAAAUUGUUUUUAAUGUGCCUUUGUGACUCUUUUCCUCUCCCCUGUUUCACAGUUCAAUGUCUGUGCUGGGUUUUGCGACUGAGUUUAGAAUAUAAAACAUUUCAUCUAUAGAC
Gymnodraco acuticeps is the source of this 990-nucleotide non-coding RNA. The record is from the annotation of a RefSeq genome assembly. NCBI's taxonomy places the organism in Eukaryota, Metazoa, Chordata, Actinopteri, Perciformes, Bathydraconidae.